Long non-coding RNA from Daphnia magna, 1709 nucleotides. RefSeq lists it as uncharacterized. The transcript is spliced from 2 exons. NCBI's taxonomy places the organism in Eukaryota, Metazoa, Arthropoda, Branchiopoda, Diplostraca, Daphniidae. The record is from RefSeq and is a predicted model, not a curated record.
CUGUAUUUCUGUGUGUGUGUUUUUCGGUCUGUCCGGCAGCUGGUUGCCGUUGGCGCGGUCAUCAAAUACACACACGCACAUAUACACAGGCAAGAAACACACCAAACAGAUUCUCUGAUAAUGUUAUCAGCAACAGCAGCCCCUGCUCUGCCGUAUAGGAAAAUACGAGGCAACGGAUACACACCAAAACGAAAGACUUGAGGUUUUCUCUCUCCUAUCUUUCCUCUCUCGUGUUGUUCAGGUGUAUAAGGCCAAAGCCAAGAUUAUCAAUGUCAGAUGGCCAUAGCGCUCGGAGGCAGACAGAACAAGAAGACAACAAAGGGUUUUCUGUUUAAAUGAAUACUGCAAUUUGAUUCCGAAUAGUAUAUUAUGCAUAACAAAUGAGAGAACCAUUCGAAAACACAUAAAUCUGAAUGCAGGAAGCCCAGAAUAUACCUUAACAGAAAACAACAGCGAAAAAUCCAGAGAAAAUGUUUGUUUCUUUCUGUAAAUCCAAAAAUAAGUGGAGAGAGAGAGAGAGAAUGUCAUUUACGGAAUGUCAAACGAGAGAGAAAAAACAAUAUCAUAUAAAUAGGAAUGAUGGGAAUCUAAUCAGAUUUUUCGGCUUUCUGGCGCUCACACCAUGGCCGGUCGCUACUGAAACAAGGAAGAGGUAAAGAAGGCAUUUACCAAAAGAGACUGGGAGGAACAGAUGAAGCUUGGCUAUGAAUAAUAAUAAAAAAGUUCCAUGGGUUGGUUAUUUUCGGAGGAAGAGCUGCACCGUGCUGCUCGACAGAUGUCGUCAACCGGCCAAAAUUUUCUUCUUGUCCCGUCAAACAACAACAACAAAAAAUGGUGGAGGCCCUUCACUUCUUGUAGACGUAACUCUCAGCGCCGCCACGUCCGAAACCUAAAAAAGAAACGACAAAGACACAAGGUGAAAAUUAAAUUUUGACAUUUUUUUUUUCUUUUUCGGCUGAAGAAAAAGAGACACAAAACAAGACGUAUUAUAUAGACAUUAGUCAUGUUCCAAAUUCCCGACUGACCAGUAUAAAAAUCUUCAUUAAAAUAGUAGCAUGUUUCUAAUUCGUGCCCAACAGGUUUUUCUUUUUUUUUUUUUUUUAGAUGGAAAUCUUGACUUUUUUUGUAACCAAAGUCAAGUCUUUCUCUAACAUACAUAAUAUCCUGCCUCUCCAAUCUCCAUCCAUGAGGAAUGGGCUGCAUAAAUAUCCGUCUGACAACCGCCGUUUUUUCUUGUUUUGUUUUGUGAAUGUGAAUGAAAGUUUCCAGCAAAAGCAAAAUGUUAAGAAAAAGUAACAAGUGGUUGCGUUUUGAUGAAUAGCGGGUUCAGUUUGUUGUCUAACUUUCAAACAACUUCAACGAAAAUACGGAUAACGAAGCACGAUACUAAAUAGGGUUUGGUUGUUUGAGUUCGUCCAUCUCUUACCUCCUGGACCGAAUAGAGCUGAAUAGCACGGGUUGUUGCAGUACGGCUUGCCUUCGUGUUCAGCGUGCUGCGUGUUGUUAUUGUACACACAUGGAUAGAAGAAGAACAAGAAUUCAAGAAUUAAAAAAAAAAGGUUUGUCUCCAAUUAAAGAGAGGCAACAGCCAUCAUUUGUUUUAUGUUUCUCUUUUUACGUACCUGACCAGGAACCAAAGUCUUGUUGCAUUUUUCACAUUUCAAGCAGAGCCCAUGCCAGUCUUUGCCCAAAGAAGUCUUCCUCUCGGC